Molecule: ribosomal RNA, 460 nt
Filed under: uncultured bacterium
Lineage: Bacteria
Description: partial 16S ribosomal RNA
Rfam family: Bacterial small subunit ribosomal RNA
Source: RNAcentral
CCUACGGGAGGCAGCAGUGGGGAAUAUUGGGCAAUGGGCGGAAGUCUGAAGCAGCGAUGCCGCGUGAAGGAAGACGGCUCUAGGAGUUGUAAACUGCUUUUGUACAGAGGUAAGCCUGCAUACGUGUAUUCCACUGAAAUUACUGUACGAAUAAAGAUCGGCUAACCCAGUUCCAGCAGCCGAGGUGAUACGGAGGGUCCGAGCGUUAUACGGAUUUAUUGGGUUUAAAGGGUGCGUAGGGGGAUUGAUAAGUUAGAGGUGAAAUGUCCGAGCUUAACGUGGGAACUGCCUUUAAUACUGGCGAUCUAGAGAGUAGAUGCGGAAGGUGGAAUGCAGGGUGUAGCGGUGAAAUGCUUAGAGAUCAUACAGAACACCGAUGGCGAAGGCAGCUUACCAACAUAUAACUGACGCUGAGGAACGAAAGCGUGGGGAGCAAACAGGAUUAGAUACCCGGGUAGUC